Non-coding RNA from Acanthosepion pharaonis, 106 nucleotides. The record is from the annotation of a GenBank genome assembly. NCBI's taxonomy places the organism in Eukaryota, Metazoa, Mollusca, Cephalopoda, Sepiida, Sepiidae.
UUACGGCCAAAUCACGUUGAAACAUUGGUUCCCGUACGAUCACCAAAGUUAAGCGACCUCCAGCCUGCUCAGUACCUAGAUGGAUGAUCACAUCGGAAUACCAGCU